UUUUUCUGGUCUGUGGCUGCUGCUUGUGCGUACGUUCUUCUUUUCUUUCUUUGUUUGUUUCUGUUUUUUUUUUUUGUGUUUUCUGUUUUGUGCUUUCUUUUCUCUUUGUUUUUUUUGUUCUCUUCUUUUUUUUUUCGUCUGUUUCUCUCUCGUUUUGUGUUUUUUUUUUUUUUCUUUUGUUUCUCCUUUUUUUGUGGAAAGUAAAAGUCGUAACAAGGUUUCCGUAGGUGAACCUGCGGAAGGAUCAUUAC
RNAcentral lists this ribosomal RNA (251 nucleotides) under Sclerotinia sclerotiorum. RNAcentral's name for it is "partial 18S ribosomal RNA". The record is from RNAcentral. Lineage: Eukaryota; Fungi; Ascomycota; Leotiomycetes; Helotiales; Sclerotiniaceae.